GAAAUGCGAUAAGUAGUGUGAAUUGCAGAAUUCAGUGAAUCAUCGAAUCUUUGAACGCACAUUGCGCCCUUUGGUAUCCCUUGGGGCAUGCCUGUACGAGCGUCAUCUAAACCCUCAAGCCCUGCUUGGUGUUGGGUGCCUGUCCCGCCCCCGUGCGUGGACUCACCUCAAAUCCAUUGGCGGCCCUCGUGCCGGCCCCGAGCGCAGCAGAAACGCGGUCUCGUGGCCCGGCGGAGCGUGCCCCCAGAAGCAACAUUCACCGUUUUGACCUCGGAUCAGGUAGGGAUACCCGCUGAACUUAAGC
This 304-nucleotide unclassified non-coding RNA is filed under the name plant metagenome. RNAcentral's name for it is "partial contains 5.8S ribosomal RNA, internal transcribed spacer 2, and large subunit ribosomal RNA". The stretch from base 1 to 105 matches the Rfam family "5.8S ribosomal RNA", at positions 50 to 154 of the family's 154-position model. The record is from RNAcentral.